Molecule: ribosomal RNA, 468 nt
Filed under: uncultured bacterium
Lineage: Bacteria
Description: partial 16S ribosomal RNA
Rfam family: Bacterial small subunit ribosomal RNA
Source: RNAcentral
GACGAACGCUGGCGGCGUGCUUAACACAUGCAAGUCGAACGGAAAGGCCCUGCGUUUGUGGGGUGCUCGAGUGGCGAACGGGUGAGUAACACGUGAGUAACCUGCCCUUGACUUUGGGAUAACUUCAGGAAACGGGGGCUAAUACCGGAUAGGAGAUCCUGCUGCAUGGUGGGGGUGGGAAAGUUUCGGCGGUUGGGGAUGGACUCGCGGCUUAUCAGCUUGUUGGUGGGGUAGGGGCUUACCAAGGCUUUGACGGGUAGCCGGCCUGAGAGGGUGACCGGCCACAUUGGGACUGAGAUACGGCCCAGACUCCUACGGUGGGCAGCAGUGGGAAAUAUUGCACAGUGGGCGGAAGCCUGAGGCGGAGGCGCCGCGUGCGGGAUGACGGCCUUCGGGUUGUGAACCGCUUUCGCCUGUGACGAAGCGUGAGUGACGGUAAUGGGUGAAGAAGCACCGGCUAACUACGUG